This 530-nucleotide unclassified non-coding RNA is filed under the name Hevea brasiliensis (rubber tree). Lineage: Eukaryota; Viridiplantae; Streptophyta; Magnoliopsida; Malpighiales; Euphorbiaceae. The record is from RNAcentral.
UAGCCGUUAAUUUUCGCAUUUCGCGCCAGUAUUCAACUUGAGGGGAGAAUCCGAAAUUGGCAUAAUCGUAGCCCAGAAGUUUUGAACCUGUAAAUUUGGGGCGGGUCCAAACAGCAGCAUCGUUGGUGGUGAAUAUUUCCUUAGCCAAUUCCCAGGUACUGACCACCAAAGCUGAGUAUAUCCCAAUCCUGACGGUGAAGAUAGGUCCAUACUUAUCAGCUAAGGCUGCCAAAGUUAUGUGGGGAAGCUCACGUCCUGCCAACAAAGGGAGAUGACCUAAAAUCGGCCAUGCACCUCCAGCUUCGGGAGCUGCUUUGGCCUUGGCAGAUUUGGACCCCCUCAAGAGAAAGUAGUAAAAGAGAAUUACAGCAGUAAGCCCAAGGAUGAUGUCUUUCAGGUAUGGCGGAAGCAGAGCCAUAUUAUUACAGCUAAGGUGUCUUGGAUGGCGGAAUAUUUCAAUGUUAAAUCUACCUAAACGCGCACUUCUUCUUGUUCCCCACUAACAAUAUAAUUAAGCAGCGAGAAUCAAG